Molecule: ribosomal RNA, 816 nt
Filed under: Triticum aestivum (bread wheat)
Lineage: Eukaryota; Viridiplantae; Streptophyta; Magnoliopsida; Poales; Poaceae
Description: partial small subunit ribosomal RNA
Source: RNAcentral
AUGGAUCAUUGGAGGCCGGAGACACACACUUUCCAUCUUCGGACCGGGGAGAUUACCGUGACGCUCCAGGAUAUGGCUAUGAUCACCGGUCUUCCUAUCGAUGGGAACCCUUUGUGUAUGAACACCGAUUCUGAUGGGUGGCGCGCGCAGAUGCAUGCCCUUAUCGGUAUGGUUCCUCCGGAGCCUCGUGAACUAGAAGCAAAAGAUAAGAAGAAGGAAAGAGUCACAGCCGGUGCUCCUUUCACUUGGAUUCAAUCGAACUUUGGUACUUGCACUGAGGAUGCUAAUGAGGACACGGUGAAGACAUAUGCUCGUGUGUACAUGUGGUACGUGAUAUCCAAGACUAUGUUUACCGAUGGCACAGGCAAGAAUGCUCCAUGGAUGUGGCUGAAGGCGUUGACCGUCUUCGAUAGCAAAUGGAGUUGGGGUUCGGCGACACUGGCUUACUUGUAUCGACAGCUGGACGAAGCCUGUUGUAGGCCAUCUGGAGGUAUUGGUGGUUGUAUGCUCGCACUUUCCAUAUGGAGCUGGGAGCGUUUGCCGGUUGGACGACCGAAGAUCGUUAAGUACGAGGAUUGGGACGACAAACACGACCCACUACGGCGCCCCACUUGGGCUUACAAGUGGGAUGUGUUAAAUGAGACGAUGGAUGACCCGUCGGUCAUGUACAAGUUGUACAAGAGCGAGCUGGACGCGAUCACGCCUGAGCAGGUGAAUGGACAUUGCAUAAGUGAUUAUCAUGCUUCUAUCGUAACUCGAUAUCAAUUUUGUGUUUUAUCCCAUUUUGUAGUUCAGUCUGAAUCUGAUGUGCACUAG